Molecule: long non-coding RNA, 1817 nt
Organism: Chrysolophus pictus (golden pheasant)
Lineage: Eukaryota; Metazoa; Chordata; Aves; Galliformes; Phasianidae
Source: Ensembl
GUCCCCUUGCUGUCCCCAUGUCCCACAUUGUCCCCAUUCUGUCCCCAUGUCCCCAUGUUGUCCCCAUGUCCCUUGCUGUCCCCAUGUCCCCAUGUUGUCCCCAUGUCCCUACAAUGUCCCCAUGUCCCUUGCUGUCCGCAUUCUGUCCCCUUGCUGUCCCCAUGUCCCACAUUGUCCCCAUUCUGUCCCCAUGUCCCCAUGUUGUCCCCACAUCCCUUGCUGUCCCCAUGCCAUUCUGUUCCCAUGUUGUCCCCAUGUUGUCCCCAUGUCCCCAUUCUGUCCCCACGUCCCACACUGUCCCCAUUCUGUCCCCAUGUCCCCAUUCUGUCCCCAUGUCCCUUGCUGUCCCCACGUCCCCAUGUCGUCCCCAUGUCCCACAGUGUCCCCAUGUUGUCCCCACGUUGUCCCCACGUUGUCCCCAUGUCCCCACAGCUCCCACAACCUGACCCCAUGGCGUCUCCUCCCACGUCUCCUCCUCCUCCUCCAACGUUCUGCCGACACGGGCGAGGUGCCCCCUCAGGUGACACCGGGUGACGCCGCGGUGACAUCAUGGCGGUGGCAUCGCGGUGACAUCGUCACGGCCACCCCCGGGUGCCACCAACCCCCCCCACGUCCCCCAGGUCGUUGUCCCCGCCAUCUCUCACAGCUCCGCGCCGGCGCCGCCACCGAGGAGGAGCUGCAGUCCCUGCAGGGCACCACGAGCUCCUUCUGUGCGCUGUGCCAGAGCGCGCUGAGCGACGGCGACGGAGCUGUGAGGGAGGAGGUGGGGAGGGGGGCAGCGGGGGGCAGCAGUGACGGGGGUGGCAUCACUGGGUGACGUUGGGUGGGGUGACUUGGGUGACGUUGGGUGACAUUGGAUUGGGUGACAUUGGGUGACUUGGGUGACACUGAGCGACGGUGAGUGACGUUGGAUGACGUUGGGUUGGGUGACACUGGGUGACGUUGGUGACAUUGGGUUGGGUGACGUUGGUGGCGUUGGGUUGGGUGACAUUGGGUGACGUUGGGUGACAUUGGAUUGGGUGACAUUGGGUGAUGUUGGUGACACUAAGUUGGGUGACAUUGGCGCUGGGUGGCACUGGGUGACAUUGAGUGACACCGAGUGACGUUGGUGACAUUGAGUGACAUUGGGUUGGGUGACGUUGGUGGCGUUGGGUGACAUUGGGUUGGGUGAUGUUGGUGGCAUUGGGUUGGGUGGCAUUGGGUGACACUGGGUGACCCUGUGGGCCAUCUCCUGCUGUCACCAUGGUGUUCCCUUGUCCCCACAUUCCCCUGUCCCCACAAGUGUCCCCAUAGUGUCCCCAUGUCCCUUUGUCCCCCACCCCCAAUGUCCCCACGUCCCCUUGGUGUGGUCAGUGGGGUCAGUGGGGUGAUUGGGGUGAUUGGGGUCAUUGGGUUGGCAAUGGGGUCUUUGGGGUCAGUUGGGGUGAUUGGGUUGAUUGGGGUCAUUGGGGUGAUUGGGGUGGCAGUGGGGUGAUUGGGGUCAGUGGGGUCAGCGGGGUCAGUGGGGUAUCGGGGUCGCCAUGCAGUUCUAUGGGGACUUUGGGGACAUCGUGAAGGCGGUGCUGGUGGCGGCGCGGAGGAUGGACAGAACGGAGUGGGCCAGAACCGUGCUGCUGAGCCUGCAGCAGGUCGGCCCCACAGCGGCCCUAUAGCACGGCCCUAUAGCACGGCCCUAUAACCACCGCCCUCUUACACGGCCCUAUAAUGGCCUUAUAACAUGGCCCUGUAACACGGCCCUAUAACCGCAGCCCUAUAACGCGGCCCUACAAUGGGCCUAUAACACGGCCCUAUAGCAUGGCCCUAUACCCACAGCCAUA